CUAGCCGUAAACGAUGGGUACUAGGUGUUGGGGGUGACAAUCCCCCAGUGCCGCAGUUAACGCAUUAAGUACCCCGCCUGGGGACUACGGCCGCAAGGCUGAAACUCAAAGGAAUUGACGGGGGCCCGCACAAGCAGCGGAGCAUGUGGUUUAAUUCGAUGCAACGCGAAAAACCUUACCAGGGCUUGACAUCCUCUGAAGCUAUAAGAGAUUAUAGUGUCCCUUCGGGGCAGAGUGACAGGUGG
Molecule: ribosomal RNA, 245 nt
Filed under: uncultured Clostridia bacterium
Lineage: Bacteria; Bacillati; Bacillota; Clostridia
Description: partial 16S ribosomal RNA
Rfam family: Bacterial small subunit ribosomal RNA
Source: RNAcentral